ACAGCCAUAGGUUAAUGGUAAACCUUUUGUCUUCCAAAUAAAUUUUGUCGAUUCGAAUUCGACUGGCUGUA
This 71-nucleotide transfer RNA is filed under the name Lecanora markjohnstonii. Its description in RNAcentral is "tRNA-Gly". It matches the Rfam family "tRNA". Rfam says of the family: Transfer RNA (tRNA) molecules are approximately 80 nucleotides in length. Their secondary structure includes four short double-helical elements and three loops (D, anti-codon, and T loops). Further hydrogen bonds mediate the characteristic L-shaped molecular structure. tRNAs have two regions of fundamental functional importance: the anti-codon, which is responsible for specific mRNA codon recognition, and the 3' end, to which the tRNAs corresponding amino acid is attached (by aminoacyl-tRNA synthetases). tRNAs cope with the degeneracy of the genetic code in two manners: having more than one tRNA (with a specific anti-codon) for a particular amino acid; and 'wobble' base-pairing, i.e. permitting non-standard base-pairing at the 3rd anti-codon position. The record is from RNAcentral. Lineage: Eukaryota; Fungi; Ascomycota; Lecanoromycetes; Lecanorales; Lecanoraceae.